GAACCCGGGGAGUGGCGGAGCCAAUAGGCUGCUAGCAUCGCUGCCCAAUGGAAUGGGGGCGCAGGUAGCCGGAAAGCCAAUCGAGAGAAAGGCGGGCCUCAGCAUCCUCCCUCAUUGGAAGGAAGAGCUAUGCAGAUUAGCCAAUCACCAGCUUCCAUUGCAGCCCUCUCUUAGCCAAUCGGCUGUGGCGGUUGGCGCGGGGGGCUGAGGAAGGGGCUUGCGGGCGGGGGACACUUAAAGCGGCCGUGUGGUGCCUGAGGCGCCCCGUCCCGCUCAGCUCCUCGCGACGGCGCGCGUGGAUGAGGAACAGACCGUCCCUCUCUGUAGUAAAUGAGAUUGCUGUAGCUGCACUGCAUUAUUUCACUACUUUAAGCAAAACGUUUCACUUUGCCCUACGCGGGCACAAGCUGUGAGCUCUGUUGAAAAUUCGUUUGUUAUUAAUGAUAAAUUCCCCCUCUGAAGACCCAAUCAAAAUGAACGUUGCCAUUAUGUGAUCACAGAGCAACGCUCACCUGGAGAGCCCGAGGACAAAGCAGGGCACACAGAGAAGGGAACACACACAAAAAGAGCUCGUAAAAGGCAAAUAUACCUCCAGAGCAAGGCAAAGUUAAUUUCAGUUAAAAAUAAAUAUUAAAAGUGCACAAGAGAAGUGAUACGCAUAGGCAAGAGGCAGGGGAUGGGUUGUUCCCUGUACAUCAGGACUGGGCUUGCUAUCCUGGACUGAACACAUUGUUUCCUGCAGCUUUCAAAUAGCAAUUAUAUCCAAUUCAUUUUAAAAGCCUUUUCUGGCUGGCACUGAUCCUGUCACAGCGAGAAAAAUAGCAUCGAAGGCUCAUUAUUUUGGAAAGAAAGAAAAUAUUUACUGCAGAAGUUCAUUUCAUUUCAGAAGAGUGAUAUAAGAUAGCGUGAGUGAUUUACUGCUUUCACUAUUCGAGCUAAAUAAAUCUCCUCCUUUCCCAGCUCUUGAAUAUAGAGUUGUGCUGGCAGAGUGGAUUACAUCUGAUCUAUGUACCAUGACAAGUACUGAAAAUUGUGGGCUUCAUUGCUGUAUUCACCCACUCCUUCCUGAAGAUAAGAAGAAAGUGUCAAUACAGAGAGCAGCCUUUGCUCCGUUCCGUCAGCAUAAGAAAGCACAAAGCUGCUCUGAAGAUGUCAUGAGUAUACAGUCUGACACCAUGGAAACCAAGGUUGGGAGACUGAUAAGGAUACUAUAAGAACUUGGACAAUGUCUAAGAGAUUCUGCUUCUUACUGAGGUAUCUGUUAUCACUAUCACAGCCAGCUAUCCUAUGCAUACCACACGUAAACACAAUCGAUCCACCAAGAGAAAAAGAAAAAUCUGAAAAAUGAAACCCUGGAGUUCUCACCCACUGCUGAAAGUACAGUGAGUUGUUAUGUUUAUUUUAUAGCUUGUUUGAUCUCAGGGUAUAGACUAUUGAGUAGAACUUCAUACAAACAAAACCAUGAGAAUUUACUUGCUCUGACUUUAGCAUUUUGACUCUAAGACAAAGGAACUUUGCUUUAUACUACUGCUCUCCUGUGAAGGGUGUUGCCACAACUGCCACCUGUAUUGGAAACCAAGGUACCAGUUUCUAGCAGGUUUCUCUAGGUAGUUCAAGAACAAAAACCAAGAUCGUGAAGGAAAGUUUUAUUUGACUUAUUCAACUUGUAAUGCCCACAACCUAAGAUUAGAGGUAUUAGAAAAAAAAUAGCCACAAAGCAAAAAAAAAAAAAAAAAAGAA
Phasianus colchicus (ring-necked pheasant) is the source of this 1740-nucleotide long non-coding RNA. RefSeq lists it as uncharacterized. Lineage: Eukaryota; Metazoa; Chordata; Aves; Galliformes; Phasianidae. The record is from RefSeq and is a predicted model, not a curated record.